Molecule: ribosomal RNA, 433 nt
Filed under: uncultured bacterium
Lineage: Bacteria
Description: partial 16S ribosomal RNA
Rfam family: Bacterial small subunit ribosomal RNA
Source: RNAcentral
AACGAACGCUGGCGGCGUGCCUAACACAUGCAAGUCGAACGAGACGUUCGGGUCUAGUGGCGCACGGGGGCGUCAGGAGUGGGGAGCUGCACUUGGGUUCGGAAUAACUCCCCGAAAGGGGUGCUAAUACAGGAUAAUGUCUUAGGACAAAAGAUUUAUUGCCUUUGGGUGGGCGCGCGUUGGAUUAGGGGGUUGGUAGUGUAAAAGCCUACCAAGGAGAGGAUGCACAGCUGGUCUGUGAGGAUGAUCAGCAACGCUUGGAAUGCGACCCGGACCAGAAUCCUACGCAAGGGAGGAGAGUGUAAUAUAGUACAAGGGGGGAAGGCCUGAUCCAGCAAUGCCGGGUGAGUGAUGAAGCGCGUAGGGUUCUAAAGUCCUUUUACCCGGGAUGUUAAUGACGGUACCGGGUGAAUAAGCUCCGGCUAACUCCGUG